This 159-nucleotide ribosomal RNA is filed under the name Paraphaeosphaeria michotii. RNAcentral's name for it is "5.8S ribosomal RNA". It matches the Rfam family "5.8S ribosomal RNA". From Rfam's summary of the family: 5.8S ribosomal RNA (5.8S rRNA) is a component of the large subunit of the eukaryotic ribosome. It is transcribed by RNA polymerase I as part of the 45S precursor that also contains 18S and 28S rRNA. Lineage: Eukaryota; Fungi; Ascomycota; Dothideomycetes; Pleosporales; Didymosphaeriaceae. The record is from RNAcentral.
UACAACUUUCAACAAUGGAUCUCUUGGCUCUGGCAUCGAUGAAGAACGCAGCGAAAUGCGAUAAGUAGUGUGAAUUGCAGAAUUCAGUGAAUCAUCGAAUCUUUGAACGCACAUUGCGCCCCUCGGUAUUCCGUGGGGCAUGCCUGUUCGAGCGUCAUC